GUCCCGGUGGGGUAGCGGAUAUCCUAGAAGAUUGCGGAUCUUUUGACCCGGGUUCAAGUCCCGGCCGGGGCG
RNAcentral lists this transfer RNA (72 nucleotides) under Methanomicrobiales archaeon HGW-Methanomicrobiales-3. Its description in RNAcentral is "tRNA-Arg". It matches the Rfam family "tRNA". Rfam says of the family: Transfer RNA (tRNA) molecules are approximately 80 nucleotides in length. Their secondary structure includes four short double-helical elements and three loops (D, anti-codon, and T loops). Lineage: Archaea; Methanobacteriati; Methanobacteriota; Methanomicrobia; Methanomicrobiales. RNAcentral also lists the same sequence under 1 other name. The record is from RNAcentral.